CUUACCAUGCAGUCGAACGGCAGCACGGGAGCAAUCCUGGUGGCGAGUGGCGAACGGGUGAGUAAUACAUCGGAACGUGUCCUGGAGUGGGGGAUAGCCCGGCGAAAGCCGGAUUAAUACCGCAUACGCUCUGAGGAGGAAAGGGGGGGAUCUUAGGACCUCUCGCUCAAGGGGCGGCCGAUGGCAGAUUAGCUAGUUGGUGGGGUAAAGGCCUACCAAGGCGACGAUCUGUAGCUGGUCUGAGAGGACGACCAGCCACACUGGGACUGAGACACGGCCCAGACUCCUACGGGAGGCAGCAGUGGGGAAUUUUGGACAAUGGGCGCAAGCCUGAUCCAGCAAUGCCGCGUGUGUGAAGAAGGCCUUCGGGUUGUAAAGCACUUUUGUCCGGAAAGAAAACACGCCUGUUAAUACCGGGUGUGGAUGACGGUACCGGAAGAAUAAGCACCGGCUAACUACGUGCCAGCAGCCGCGGUAAUACGUAGGGUGCAAGCGUUAAUCGGAAUUACUGGGCGUAAAGCGUGCGCAGGCGGUUCGUUAAGACAGAUGUGAAAUCCCCGGGCUUAACCUGGGAACUGCAUUUGUGACUGGCGGACUCGAGUAUGGCAGAGGGGGGUAGAAUUCCACGUGUAGCAGUGAAAUGCGUAGAGAUGUGGAGGAAUACCGAUGGCGAAGGCAGCCCCCUGGGCCAAUACUGACGCUCAUGCACGAAAGCGUGGGGAGCAAACAGGAUUAGAUACCCUGGUAGUCCACGCCCUAAACGAUGUCAACUGGUUGUCGGGUCUUCAUUGACUUGGUAACGAAGCUAACGCGUGAAGUUGACCGCCUGGGGAGUACGGUCGCAGAUAAAUAG
This 853-nucleotide ribosomal RNA is filed under the name Paraburkholderia caledonica. RNAcentral describes it as "bacterial SSU rRNA". It matches the Rfam family "Bacterial small subunit ribosomal RNA", at positions 48 to 900 of the family's 1533-position model. The record is from RNAcentral. Lineage: Bacteria; Pseudomonadati; Pseudomonadota; Betaproteobacteria; Burkholderiales; Burkholderiaceae.